RNA transcript from Betta splendens (Siamese fighting fish), 2905 nucleotides. It is a transcript of the gene named phospholipase B1, membrane-associated-like, with no coding region annotated. NCBI's taxonomy places the organism in Eukaryota, Metazoa, Chordata, Actinopteri, Anabantiformes, Osphronemidae. The transcript has 8 exons. The record is from RefSeq and is a predicted model, not a curated record.
CACCUGAGGUCAACCCCGUGACCCCGGCGAUGACGUCACGGCCCUUGCCUUUAAAUAACAAGCCCAAUUUUAAAAUAUUGUUAUUAUUAAAUAGCGUAGGUUUCAGACCCUUAAGCAGGAAUAGUUAAUCUAAAAACAGCCUAUUAAUAGUGAUUAAAAAUGAGCUAAGCUGACAGCACAUUAUUAUUAUAUCUAUUCAUAGACUUUUAGUUUGUCAGUUUGGUUUAAUGUGUGUACAAAUUUAAACAGAACCAAUAAUUCAAAGCAACCUUUAUGUUACUGUUGAACACACCCAAUAAAUAUACAGUGUGAUGGUUAAAAACUAGGUGAAACUGCUUUAAUAACUGGUUGAACCACCUUUGGAAGCAGAAACCUCGAGCAAACAAUUUCUGCAGCUGUGGAUUAGGUGAAAGAGGCACUUUAGUCCUCUCUUCAGCUCAGUCAUAUUCAUAAAAAUGAAAAUAUUUACGUCCUUGAUUAGAGGUAAAUUACCGUUUGCACAAUUAAAGAACAAGAUCUCUGAGAAGCUUGAUGUUCUUUGUGACUAAAGUGUCUAAAGUUAUUUAAAUGUUUAGUAUAGUGAAGGAUGCAGUGUAGACCAGCAAGUCAUUUCAGAGAGACUGUCUCAGUCACAGUUCAUGGUUCCAGCAGGAGGACAGCGACCCAACAUCUAUAUGCAACAAUGCACACAAUUAUUUAAGUCACACGCCCCCAAAAUUCCUUCAUUCACCAUCUGGAGGUGUCACCUUUAGGGACUGUACCUUGAAAUCCAUUCAGUAACUUGUUGCUGAACAAUCUGGUGACGACAUCAUGGACAUUGUUAUUUAUUGUCUUUAUUGUCUCACCAAUUACAAACUGGUCACCUAUAGUACAUUACUCUGCCCAUUGACUACAAAGGUCAGAGAUAAGAUUUGUCAGCAUUUAUCACAAAGGUUGAACAACACUAAUAAAGCUCAGAAUAUGUGGUUUCACUGCUACGUCUCUCAGGAAAGAGGACGACAACAUGUUUCACUGGGUGCUGGUUGCAGUCUGUGUAUUUGCGACAUGUCGUGUACGAGGCUCCACAGAAGAGAAACAUCUCAGUCAGGACGACCUUGGAGCAGAUUUUCUUCAGCAUCGUCUGCAUCCUUUGUUCCAGUGUCCUGACAUGAGCCCGUCUCCUGUUGUCCCCUCCUCAGACAGCGAUCGGCGCCAACGGCUCCACUAUUGCAUCGAUACCUUUUGAAUUUCGGCACGUGUCAUGGAGUAUUGGAGGUUAUGGGACUUAUUAGAACGUCAUCACAUUGGCAAGUAUGUUUAUUUCUAAGCUGAUUGCAUUAAAAAUAAAAAAAUAUUUUUAAAAACUAAAAGUAGAAAUGUUUGCAGUAAAUGCUGGAAAAGUACAUUCAGUAGAAAGUUGACAUGUUGGUAUAAAACCAAAAUGGGAAAGAGGACAUGUUUUAAAUUUUAUACACUAGAAUAAACCUUUUUCAUCAGACUCAUGUGCUUCUGUGAUGAACUGGUGAAGUUGGUACCAUAACAUUAAAUGCAGUACAUCAGUAAAUGUGUUUACCACCUGUGCUGUCGUAGAUAUUUUUAAACUCUUAAAUCCCAAUCUUCUGGGUCCGUCCCCGGUGCCGUUGCUGCACGGUCACCCUGCAUCUGUCAACCAGACGGGCUUCAACUUCACUGUCACCAGGCACAACACGCUGUAAGGCACUGGACCCUCAGCGCUUUAUGAAGGAGCUCUCGAAUGUUUGAAUGCGUGGACUAGAACUUGGAUGCAAAUUGUGUCUUUUGUGGUGAUUUGUAUGUUUAUGAUUAUGAAGAGGAAACUCAUGACUGUGUGUCGUUCUACAGGAACGUCUCAGAUCAGAUAAAGCACGUGAUUACUGCAAAAACAAGGUUAUGUGUGAAUUAAAUGUAACAAGGUGUUUGAACCUCCUUAAAAUAAACUGACUGAGGUUCGGAUCGCUCUCCUAAGACUCUGUUCUCACAUGACAACUUCAUCCUCCACAUGACAGAAGCUCUGGACAUGACGAUGAACGAGGUCAGGCUCAUAACAAACUUUAGCUGACAGACAGCUCUGCUUAUUGUGUUCAGACCAAGAGGCUUAAAGCGGAUGAUUUAUAUACAGACAUUAGAAACUUAACUUAAUUGUUUGAGUCUGUGGAGGCGUUUUCUGCUAUCAGAUCCCCAGAACCAUUGUUAAUGUGGUGCAGAUUCUUCCCAUGAAGCCUCUCAGAAAAGCUCAAAAACCGACUCUGGGCUGUCACCUUCAAAAGACGUUCUGCUCCUGUCUGGUUCAACCUGCUGAAGACUCCCCAGAGCUGAAGGAGCUGAUUAAGGUUAACCACAAAUACCAGAGGAGAUUAAAGGUGCUACUGCUCACUGAGCUCUUCUUCAAAAAUGACUUUGCUGUUGUUCUGCAACCUUAUUUAGAGAAGGCCGGACCCCCGAGACUUCCAGAUGGAAAAUUUGACUCGAGCUUCUUCACAGCAGAUUGUUUUCACUCUACUGUGAAAGGACACGAGGAACUGGCAAAGGGCCUGUGGAACAACAUGGCAAAAAGUGAAAAUAAUAAAGAAGUUACAUUUUCAAAACACAGCAGAACGUAAAGUUCCCAGACUGUCACACGGUGAACGCUUUUCUGCUACAAAUGCUUCAGUUUCAGCCAGAGGAAGAGAAGGAGAUGAUAAAGACAUUUUCAGAUCCAGUAAAGCUCAUCUGUCCAUCACAGGUAUAAAACAAUGACACCAAACAUUCAUGUGAUGUUUGCUGCAAACUGUCACAAGAAUAAAUCUACAAUUUUAAGUCCACGAUAAACAACGACAUAGCAAAAUGUCCUGUCUAUAUGUUUCUUGGUAACAAACCAAAACCUACCUUAAAUAUGUGUAUAAAUAUGUGUAUAUAAAUAUGUAGAAAA